RNAcentral lists this non-coding RNA (30 nucleotides) under Mus musculus (house mouse). The record is from RNAcentral. Lineage: Eukaryota; Metazoa; Chordata; Mammalia; Rodentia; Muridae.
GCUACUGCUUUGUUUAAUAAAGAGUUCAUG